AAAAAAAAAAAAAAAAACAGAGAAUUCAAUUACUCCACCAAAUACAAUUUUAUCUAUUCUAAUUCAGUUCAACCCCAAUGUCCUUGCACAGAAACACAACAUAUAGCUACAAAUAAUCGAUGAGCUCAAAUUUGAAAUUACCACAGUUAUGUAUAACUCAAAGCACAUCCAGUACAUAAACCAAAAAAAGCAACAGCCGCCAUGUUCUAAGGUCAGAGAACAGAAGCACAAGAGCUCAAUAUGUUAUUAAUGUAGAACCAGGAAAUUUAGGGACCAAAACAAGCAAAUUCUCUAUAACAAUGAGAAUCAUAAUCUAAAUUUGUUAUGUAAGUGACGAUGAGGCGACAUCAACUAACAAAAGUAUUACCAGAACCUAGAAACUCAAAACUUACACUGAUUACUCAUUAUACCAAGUUUCCCAAUUCAUACCUCAAAAAUAAGAAAUACAAUUCCAUUUACAAUUACAACUCUAAAAUACAUUCUGCUGUAUUAUUAACAAAGAACAGAGCCAAAGAAAUAAUGCAGGCAAAAUCUUGAAAGGUGUUGCAUCUAAAACACAUGAAAAAGAAUGGAACCAAUAUAUAGGAAGCAACACUUACCGUUACAGUUUCAACUGAGUAAUA
This 623-nucleotide unclassified non-coding RNA is filed under the name Hevea brasiliensis (rubber tree). The record is from RNAcentral. Lineage: Eukaryota; Viridiplantae; Streptophyta; Magnoliopsida; Malpighiales; Euphorbiaceae.